RNAcentral lists this ribosomal RNA (487 nucleotides) under uncultured bacterium. RNAcentral describes it as "bacterial SSU rRNA". It matches the Rfam family "Bacterial small subunit ribosomal RNA", at positions 29 to 496 of the family's 1533-position model. The record is from RNAcentral.
AGCGAACGUUGGCGGCGCGCCUAACACAUGCAAGUCGAUCGCGAAAGGACUUCGGUCCGAGUAGAGUGGCGCACGGGUGAGUAACACGUGAGUAAUCUGCCCUUAAGCUUGGGAUAACAUGCCGAAAGGCGUGCUAAUACCGAAUGAGACCACGUCCUCUGUGGAGGAUGUGAGAAAAGAUGGGGAUCCGAGAGGACCUAUCACUUGAGGAUGAGCUCGCGGCCUAUCAGCUAGUUGGCGGGUAAUGGCCCACCAAGGCGAAGACGGGUAGCUGGUCUGAGAGGACGAUCAGCCACACUGGGACUGAGACACGGCCCAGACUCCUACGGGAGGCAGCAGUGGGGAAUAUUGGACAAUGGGGGCAACCCUGAUCCAGCCAUGCCGCGUGAGUGAAGAAGGCCCUCGGGUUGUAAAGCUCUUUUGUCCGGAAGAAAAGCAAUCGGUUAAUACCCGGUUGUUCUGACGGUACCGGAAGAAUAAGCACCGG